This is a long non-coding RNA of Pollicipes pollicipes, 799 nucleotides long. RefSeq lists it as uncharacterized. The transcript is spliced from 3 exons. The record is from RefSeq and is a predicted model, not a curated record. NCBI's taxonomy places the organism in Eukaryota, Metazoa, Arthropoda, Thecostraca, Pollicipedomorpha, Pollicipedidae.
UUGGCGUGAAUCGUGCACAAAGGCCACAAUACCCAGUAAUCAUUCGUUGUUGCAUUAGUAUACUUUACGUAUUGGUCAAUUUUCGCGCCUUUUUGACCUUGAGCAUCUACAGAUUUACGUUUAAGACGGAAACAUGGGAAUGCGAACACAAUGGUCACGGCGGUGACGGUGCUCGGUUAUUGCGGAGGGUGUCGCAGGAAGACAGGUACCCAGCAGAGUUAAACAGCAGGCAGACAUGUUUCCACCAAUGGUCUCUGCAUCACCACCCCCAUCAGAUGAUGACCUCAGUGGUGAUGAUGGAGAAGACUUUGGUGGUGGUGACUCAUCAUUUGACAUAACAGGCUUGUCACAGAAGCUGGCACCAUGUCAUGAGCCCGAUCCAGUGCCAGUGGCCAGCCAGGCAUCUGGUCAGGAUGCUCCAGCAGCCUGUCCGGCCGACCGCGGCACCCUCUCUGGUGCGGUCCUGCCGCCGGCCAGCCCCACAUCCCCAGUCAGUUUUGAUGAUGACGAAUGGGGCGACUUCAGCGCCGGCAGCGCCAUCAGUGUCCCCACGCCGGUGAGCUUGGGUGUGCCGACGGAGCCGGCGAGCGAGGGCACCGGCGGCAGCCCGCGCGGCCUGGACGGCGGCUGCGCACCAGACCGGGCGCGCACCGACUCGACCAGUUCAGAGUCCGACCCGCCGAACCCCUCCACCGCCGACCCGCGUCCGGCGGACUCUGCUGCCGUCGCCGCGGACCGGGUGGAGUCGGACUUGGAGUCGGCCGUGCCGGACGCUGGCGCCGCGAGCUCGGACUCUGCG